UCGGGAAUUUUGGGCAAUGGGGGAAACCCUGACCCAGCAACGCCGCGUGAAGGAUGAAGUAUUUCGGUAUGUAAACUUCGAAAGAAUAGGAAGAAUAAAUGACGGUACUAUUUGUAAGGUCCGGCUAACUACGUGCCAGCAGCCGCGGUAAUACGUAGGGACCAAGCGUUGUUCGGAUUUACUGGGCGUAAAGGGCGCGUAGGCGGUGUGUCAAGUCAGUUGUGAAAUCUCCGAGCUUAACUCGGAACGGUCAACUGAUACUGUCACACUAGAGUACAGAAGGGGCAAUCGGAAUUCUUGGUGUAGCGGUGAAAUGCGUAGAUAUCAAGAGGAACACCUGAGGCGAAGGCGGGUUGCUGGGCUGAUACUGACGCUGAGGCGCGAAAGCUAGGGUAGCAAACGGGAUUAGAUACCCUUGUAGUCCCUGAGCGGGCUGGCAAGGCGCAU
This 447-nucleotide ribosomal RNA is filed under the name uncultured bacterium. RNAcentral's name for it is "bacterial SSU rRNA". It matches the Rfam family "Bacterial small subunit ribosomal RNA", at positions 355 to 825 of the family's 1533-position model. The record is from RNAcentral.